RNAcentral lists this ribosomal RNA (436 nucleotides) under Rhodococcus sp. PLB080. Its description in RNAcentral is "bacterial SSU rRNA". It matches the Rfam family "Bacterial small subunit ribosomal RNA", at positions 1070 to 1502 of the family's 1533-position model. The record is from RNAcentral. Lineage: Bacteria; Bacillati; Actinomycetota; Actinomycetes; Mycobacteriales; Nocardiaceae.
AGAUGUUGGGUUAAGUCCCGCAACGAGCGCAACCCUUGUCUUAUGUUGCCAGCGCGUUAUGGCGGGGACUCGUAAGAGACUGCCGGGGUCAACUCGGAGGAAGGUGGGGACGACGUCAAGUCAUCAUGCCCCUUAUGUCCAGGGCUUCACACAUGCUACAAUGGCCAGUACAGAGGGCUGCGAGACCGUGAGGUGGAGCGAAUCCCUUAAAGCUGGUCUCAGUUCGGAUCGGGGUCUGCAACUCGACCCCGUGAAGUCGGAGUCGCUAGUAAUCGCAGAUCAGCAACGCUGCGGUGAAUACGUUCCCGGGCCUUGUACACACCGCCCGUCACGUCAUGAAAGUCGGUAACACCCGAAGCCGGUGGCCUAACCAUUUAUGGGGGGAGCCGUCGAAGGUGGGAUCGGCGAUUGGGACGAAGUCGUAACAAGGUAGCCG